Molecule: transfer RNA, 69 nt
Filed under: Pseudomonas putida
Lineage: Bacteria; Pseudomonadati; Pseudomonadota; Gammaproteobacteria; Pseudomonadales; Pseudomonadaceae
Also listed under: 2 other names
Description: tRNA-Val(gac)
Source: RNAcentral
AGCGCGCGUCUUCACAAGACCACCUUGACAUGGUGGGGGUCGUUGGUUCGAGCCCAAUUGUGCCUACCA